RNAcentral lists this ribosomal RNA (423 nucleotides) under uncultured eukaryote. RNAcentral's name for it is "SSU rRNA". It matches the Rfam family "Eukaryotic small subunit ribosomal RNA", at positions 592 to 1017 of the family's 1831-position model. The record is from RNAcentral.
CAAUAGCGUAUAUUAAAGUUGUUGCGGUUAAAAGCUCGUAGUUGGAUUUCUGCCGAGGACGACCGGUCCGCCCUCUGGGUGAGUAUCUGGCUUGGCCUGGGCAUCUUCUUGGAGAACGUAGCUGCACUUGACUGUGUGGUGCGGUAUCCAGGACUUUUACUUUUUGAGGAAAUUAGAGUGUUUCAAGCAGGCAUGCGCCUUGAAUACAUUAGCAUGGAAUAAUAAGAUAGGACCUCGGUUCUAUUUUGUUGGUUCUAGAGCUGAGGUAACGAUUAAUAGGGAUAGUUGGGGGCAUUCGUAUUUAACUGUCAGAGGUGAAAUUCUUGGAUUUGUUAAAGACGGACAAUUGCGAAAGCAUUUGCCAAGGAUGUUUUCAUUAAUCAAGUAACGAAAGUUGGGGCGUCGAAGGACGAUCAGAUACCA